This 584-nucleotide ribosomal RNA is filed under the name uncultured fungus. RNAcentral describes it as "eukaryotic LSU rRNA". The stretch from base 224 to 377 matches the Rfam family "5.8S ribosomal RNA". Lineage: Eukaryota; Fungi. The record is from RNAcentral.
AAGUCGUAACAAGGUUUCCGUAGGUGAACCUGCGGAAGGAUCAUUAAUAAGAGAAAGGGUUUCUUUUUGAGCCCGACCUCCAAACCCCUGUAUACGUACCACAUUUGUUGCUUUGGCGAGAGACCACUAAUUCUAGUGAUUGGUGGAGGGCCCCUCUUGCCAAAAAAAUAUUCAAAAACCUUUUGUAAAAAGAGUAUUUCUGAGUCAAACUUUAAUAAAUUAAAACUUUCAACAACGGAUCUCUUGGUUUUGGCAUCGAUGAAGAACGCAGCGAAAUGCGAUAAGUAAUGUGAAUUGCAGAAUUCAGUGAAUCAUCGAAUCUUUGAACGCACAUUGCGCCCUCUGGUAUUCCGGAGGGCAUGCCUGUUCGAGCGUCAUUUCUGAACCUCAAGCUCAAGCUUGGUUUUGGGCUUUCGUCGCACCUUUCUAGGGAUGACGAGCUCUAAAUGCUUUGGCGACAGUUCUUCAACUCAAGCGUAGUGAAAAUUCCGUUUUGGGGCUUGAAGGCCUGUUUGCUUCUAAAAAAUAAAAUUAUUUUACAAUAGAUUGACCUCGGAUCAGGUAGGGAUACCCGCUGAACUUAA